UCGGGUAUAGCUCAGCUGGUAGAGCACAUGCCUAGCAUGCAUGAGGUACUGUGUUCAAACCCCAGCACCCCAC
RNAcentral lists this transfer RNA (73 nucleotides) under Camelus bactrianus (Bactrian camel). It matches the Rfam family "tRNA". Rfam says of the family: Transfer RNA (tRNA) molecules are approximately 80 nucleotides in length. Their secondary structure includes four short double-helical elements and three loops (D, anti-codon, and T loops). The record is from Rfam by way of RNAcentral. RNAcentral also lists the same sequence under 1 other name. Lineage: Eukaryota; Metazoa; Chordata; Mammalia; Artiodactyla; Camelidae.